Molecule: long non-coding RNA, 2403 nt
Filed under: Heterocephalus glaber (naked mole-rat)
Lineage: Eukaryota; Metazoa; Chordata; Mammalia; Rodentia; Bathyergidae
Description: lncRNA (ENSHGLG00000046154.1)
Source: RNAcentral
GCGUAACAGAGUGAACAGCAUCAGAGUGGGUGUUCAAGAAUAGUCUCUGUAGAGUGACCGCAUGAGGAUAAGAAGUCAGCAAGAGGACAAGGAGCCAGCAAGAGGAGAUGCUUGGGAGGCCAGCCUUGGAAGGACUGAAGACAGAAGAGCUGCAGGCAGAGUUUGCCUUUUACUUGCCACAGUGGACGCAUGCUUGUGGUGAAAGGGCUCCAGGACCGCUUGGCUGGGAUGGUAACGCAGCGCACAGUGGCGGAGAGCUCAGAGACUAGGCCUGUCUGGAGGGUCCUGUAUGUGAGCUGAUCAUCCACCUCACAGCAGCCUUUCAGCUAUCACCCUCAUUUUACAGGUGUUGCUGUGCAGCCCAGGCUGCCCUCCGACUCACAGAGACCCUCCUGCCUCAGCCCCUCCCGGAGUGCUGGGAUUGCAGAGGCCCUGGAUGAACCUGUCUGUGCUGAUGUCUAAACUGGCUCCUCCCAAGUGCUCGCCAUGGGUCUGACUGUCCUGCUCUGAUCCAGGAGCUUCUCACCAGACCUUCUGCAGAGGAGAAUGGAGCCAUAAAGGCAGCCAGAAAGGGGUCUCCCUUCUUCUUUCUCUGGGGUCUGUGCGACUUUUCAGUAGAACCUGGAUGAUCUCCCUUAAGGGAACAUAAUGCCAUUAGAUUCAGAGGUGCAAUUGGACAUAAAAAAGUUACCUUUCCAAAGGAAAUCCAAUUACUUCCCACUGGCAAUCUGUACUGCACUCUGCAUGAAGUGCUGUGAAACUGUGUAACAGAAACAUGUGCGAUGCCUUUGUGAAGGUGAGCAGACCUGGAGAAGGGACUCAGCAGUCUGCUGAUGAGUCCAGUUGCUUAGUAUCACUGGAGCCCGACUACUGCUAGCUUACAAAUGUUUUGGAAGAUGUCGAAUCACCCCGCUGCAGACAGGCAGGUCUGCCCAUGCCCUACCAAGGUCCUGAGUCUCACAGAACAUGCCGAAUCAGCCCGCUGCAGACAGGCAGGUCUGCCCACGCCCUACCGAGGUCCCCAGGAGCGUGGAAUACACCGAAACAGCCCGCUGCACCCAGGAAGUUCUGUGCACGUCCUACCGAGGUCCUGAGUCCCGCAGAAGACACCGAAUCACCCCGCUACAGACCGGCAGCCACCUGGUUCCACACUACAAAGACGCAGAAGAAACCAGACCACCAGACCAAGGUACUGAGUCCCGCUGCUCCCGGCCCAGAGGUAGGAGCUUCUGAGCCGUCGUCCCACUUCUCCUGGUCCAGAGGAAGGGGCUUCCCGGUCACAAUCCCUCCCGCUGCUCCCAACCCAGAGGAAAGGGCUUUUGGGCCACCUUCUGUCCUGCUGCUCCUGGCCCAGAGGAAGGGGCUUCCAGGCCACCAUCCCUCCCACUGCUCCCGGCCCAGAGGGAGGGGCUUCUGAGCCACCAUCCCAAUGCUCCUGGUCCAGAGGAAGGGGUUUCCCAGCCACCAUCCCUCUGGCUGCUCCCAGCCCACAGGAAAGGGCUUUUGGGUCACCAUCCCUACUGCUGCUCCUGGCCCCUGUCCCACCUCACCCAGCUCAGAGGAGGUAAUCCAUGCAGGCACUAACAGCGCCCCCCCGGCCCAGUCGAAAUGAGAAAACAUGUAAAUAAGUCUCAAAACCAGACAUCCAGAUCACCUACAGCAACCCCAAAGGGAAAUGAGAUGGAACACUCUGAUACUCAACCACCUGGACCCAGUGAACUGGCAACAAAAGGGGAUCUGGAAAAAAUGAAAUCAGAAAUAAUUUCUCAGAUAACAGGAGAAAUUGUGCCCCUAGUGCAAGACAUGAUUAAUAAAUCUAGAGAGGAGCUCAGGAACAUGAUGGAAUCCCAACAUAAGAAGCAAAUGGAAUCCAUAAAACAGAUGCAAAUAGAUUUCCAGGACAUGAAAAACUCCAUUGAAAGUCUACACAGCAGAAUGAGCCAAUGUGAGGAUAGAAUUUCAGAUAUAGAAGAUAAGAUUGCAAUUAGUGACCAGGAAAAGAAAAAUUGCUUCAAAAUUAUAAGGGAACAUGAGAAAUCAAUCCAGCAGCUGCUAGAUGAUGCAAAGAAGAAUAACAUAAGACUGAUUGGAGUCAAUGAAGAAAAUGGAGAGAGUGCAGAUGACAUAAAAAAAAACUCUUCACAGAAAUAAUGGCAGAAAACUUCCCAAGCAGGGGAAAAGAGCUUGACAUACACAUAAGUGAGGCAUAUAGGACCCCAAAGAGCCUUGAUCAAAAAAAAAAUCUACACAUAGGCAUAUAAUUGUUAAGAUUCCAGAAACACAACAGAAGAACAAAGUUCUCCAAGCAGUCAGAGCAAAGAAACAAAUCACAUACAAAGGAAAGCCCAUCAGAAUCACAGCAGACUUCUCAACACAAACCAUCAAGGCAAGAAGAGCUUGGAG